GCUUGUGUAGAGUAAAAACAAAACAAAAACAAAAAGCAAACAGUUUUCCAUGUGGGGACCAGUCAAAUGUCCCCACAAGGACAUAAACUGUCAGAUAUUCCUCUUUGUAGCCAUGUGAGUUAGCUUUCCCUGUCCAUGUCCCAGUCUGUGUGAGUUGUAGCCCAUUCACACGGGAAUCCGCUGUACUAUAUGUGUAUGUGUGUAUGUGUAUGUGUGUAUGUGUGUGUGUGUGUGGGAGUGUGGGAGUGAGUGAUGACAACAUAAGACUUAUCAAACCAAGCCACACUGGCCUUGGACUUCAAACACAGCAGAUGCGCCGCUGGAAUCCAUGACAACUGUGUUUGCUGUUGCUUGGAGACCGCCCGAAACACACUCUUUUAUACACACUCCCAAACACACACACACACACACACACACACACACACACACACACAGACAUGUUACAACCAUACUGUUGUUUGGGUCUCUUACAACCAUAUGCUUGGGUCUCUUACACAAAAAAUAUAUGCACCCACAUACCACACACAAUCACCCAAAGCCUAUACAUGCAUAAACAAACACCACAAGAAUGCUCUUGCCUGUCUUUAUAUGAAAAGCUGACCACUUCCUCCACAUUCUUUCCUCCAUCAUAAGGAAAUCUAUCUCUCUUUCUCGGAUGAAGGGAUAUGCAGGGGCCCUUCCACAAAGACCGCCAUUCUUGUGCCUUUUAUCGAGUGGCCUACGCCAUAGUGAUACCAUCUGAUUGAAAAAACCUCAGGACAUAUGGGACGGCCGAGACAGAAAUAGAGACAGCAUGUACUAGCACAUGCAUGUUUUUCCAUUAAAUACUGAAUGACUUCAACACAUUCUGGCAACAUUAUGAAUCAACAACCAAGCGGUGCCUUACUUUAAACAGUGUUACUUUUUGAUUGUAUCAUUCCUAAUUUGCAAACAUUUGUGGUUCUCUCAGCCAUUCCUUCAAGACAAAAACAGCCCCAGCGCAUGUGCCAAAUGGACGGGAACAUCUUCCCCACUUCAACACGCCUCCUUCCUCCGUCUAGAACGUGCCUUCAAGAGGAACCAUUAAGUGUUUUUAAAAAGCGCUCGUCCACGAAAAAGGAACAAACAGAGAGGCCCUCGAGGAGGAGGAGGGGUUAUGUUGGAGAAAAGGUGACAUGAAUGGGGCUGAAAGUUGGCCGUGGCGGAUCAAAAAGACCAGGAAUUGUAUGGGGACCCUAAAUAACGAGGCUUCUUAAAGGGGCAGUUUGUCAUUUUUUAAAAGUGUUUCUAGACCUAUAAAUAAUUAUAUCAUUUAAAGGAUACUUAAGAAUGCCUGCUGAUUUGCAAUAGUGCCAUGCAAUGGAUAGGUGGCAGAACUGAGCUCGGCUGUGUUUGUUCUCAUUCUGUAUGUACUCCGUGUGUGUUUCAGCAAAAUGUUGGGAAGGGGAAGGCAUGUCAGUGUUUUAAUUGUAAUUGGCUCUCAAAAGAAUUGGCGCCCUAUCUGGCCAGCUCUCGAAAGUAUUGGCGCCCUACGCGAUCGGCUCUGACGGUACCGGCGCCCUAUCCGUCCGGCUCUAAAAAGUACCGGUGCCCUGUCUGUCCGGUUCUCAAAAGUAUUGGCGUCGUACGUGGGUGGCUGUCGAAAGUAUUGUCCCCCCCCCGUCGCGGUUUUGCCAGGGCAAGCACCACUCACAUUUUCUUCAGGAAAUGUUCCGAUCUAGUUGUAAUUGCAAUUCAGUUCACAGGCAGCAGGACUCUAAAAAUGACAAAGUGCUCCUUUAAGGCCUUGUUCACACCUGGUAUUAACAUCCGUCAUGAGUGAUUUGAUCACUCGAGUGGGCAGCUGAGAUGCUGUCCCGCGAAUCCUGUUUUAUGUACACGUAUGGGCUGUUUCACACACGGUCAGCUAACGAAACAUAUAAAUAAAUGUAGGUGAGACCAUGAAGAAAGCCAGCUGCUUCCGUUUCUGUUGUUUUAGCCACAAGACCCAGAAGAAUGCUAUAUAGGUGUGUGCUAGAAGUGCAGCAGAGAAUUAUCAGUGGAUAGCGGUUAUAGAGUUAUCAUCAGUUCAGCAUGAUUUCCAAACAGUCUCGCAAUCGUUACAUGGUGAAUCAGGGGGUGUUUCAUUGCUGUGCAGGAUGCACCGAGACAUAUUUGCGUCCACACUACAAAUGUGAUGUGGCCAUGUGCGUCCCAGACCACCAUCGAAUGUGGUUUGAGUGAUCAAAUCAAAGCGUGUCUUCGUGAUGCAUUUGACUCUUUCCAAAUUUGUGAUUAGCGCUUUUGGAUCACCCAGGACACACAUUAAUGCCAGGUGUGAAUGAGGCAGAAUUCUGAAGAAAGAAUUCCAUCCAUCCAUUUUCUGGGCUGCUUAUCCUACACGGGGUCACGCGGGAGCCUGGAGCCUAUCCCAAGGAACUCGGGGCAUAAGGCAGGGGACACCCUGGACAGGUUGUCAACCCGUCGCAGGGCACAAUCACACACACAUACACACACACACACACACACACACAUUCACACUCUACAGACAAUUUGGAAAUGCCAAUCAGCCUACAACACAUGCCUUUGGGCUGGGGGAGGAAACUGGAGUACCUGGAGGAAACCCUCGAGAGCAUGGGGAGAACAUGCAAGUUCUGUGUACAAACAGCAGAGGCAGAAUUCGAGCCCCCAACCUCGGAGAAAUAGCUUUAUCCUCUUCAGAGUCACCAUAGAUCCAGGAACGCUUGGCGUGAGGUGGAAGGAAACCGGAGAACCUGGAGGAAACCCAUGCGGACACGUGGAGAACCAGCAAAAUUCUGCACUGACAGUAACCCAUGCUCUGAAUCAUAAACCAUAAAAGAUUCAAUAUACUGUGAUGUGUUGUACAGCUGUCGUGCUGUGACAACUUUUUAUACCGUUCCACCUGUACAUAAAGCAUUCAGUAUGCCGGAAUCUAGUUGCGACUUCUCGAUUUCUCCACAGAGCGUGUUCAGACUUUUUGAGAUGUUCGUCUUUGCAUUUCCACAUGACUGAUGUAUGCAUAUCCGAGCUGGCACAUCAAGGCAUUGUUGACGUAAGCUGAAAAAAGGGAAAAUUUCAAUCAGGGCGUAUAGACAGACAGCAGAAGAAUGCACAGGGAGUGGCGAAAAGUCCUCUAUUGACAGGAAUGAGCGACAAAAGCAGGAUAUAGCACGUAUAAGCUGGUUUACGCGUCUGUCUUUAGGUGUAUUUGCAUUAUGACGCAGAUAGGGGUUUGUAAGCGUGGCAUCCAGAGAUGGGUUGAUGUCCAGGCCUCCAAAACGAAAAUAUGUCGUAGGACUCUUUGUGCGUCAACUAGCCUUCUGGCAAACGUCGAUUGGUUGACAUGGGGAGGUGUGUUCAGUUGUGGUUGUGUACACUGAAAUGUCACGAUGAGAUUUUUCUGCACUCCAUAUUUGAUCAAGGUUUUCAGGAUAAUAUAAUAUGCACUAGAAUAUAAGUGACCGAAUGCUGAUGUUGCGCCGAUGCAGCAAUAGAAUAAUUGAGAAGGCUUAAGCGCUCUGCAUGUGAGCUUACUUACAUAACUUUAUGAAUAUAAAUAUUGAUACAGUGCGUUAAUA
Molecule: long non-coding RNA, 3557 nt
Organism: Ictalurus furcatus (blue catfish)
Lineage: Eukaryota; Metazoa; Chordata; Actinopteri; Siluriformes; Ictaluridae
Exons: 3
Source: RefSeq, a predicted model, not a curated record